UACGGGGGGGGCAAGCGUUGUUCGGAAUUACUGGGCGUAAAGGGCUCGUAGGCGGCCAACUAAGUCAGACGUGAAAUCCCUCGGCUUAACCGGGGAACUGCAUCUGAUACUGGAUGGCUUGAGAUUGGGAGAGGGAUGCGGAAUUCCAGGUGUAGCGGUGAAAUGCGUAGAUAUCUGGGGGAACACCGGUGGCGAAGGCGGCAUCCUGGACCAACACUGACGCUGAGGAGCGAAAGCCAGGGGAGCAAACGGG
Molecule: ribosomal RNA, 253 nt
Filed under: uncultured bacterium
Lineage: Bacteria
Description: partial 16S ribosomal RNA
Rfam family: Bacterial small subunit ribosomal RNA
Source: RNAcentral